AAAGAGAGUGUCACGAAGAAGGGAACUGCUGUCAUCAUUAGCUUGGAAUGGAAUUUGUAUUUUGACAAAAGAUGCAGACAUUUUAAGACCCGGAAUGCUCACAAAAAGGACAAGAGCUCAGAGCUGUAUGGAAAUUUACACAAAGGGUCAGUUAACAGAUUUUGCAAAUAUGGAGGAUAAAUAUAUCAAAGGCAGCAUAGGCGUCCAAACUCCUGUUCAGGGUGCUUUUAAUCAGAAGCUUAAGAGUCAAAAGACGACCCAUUGACAAGGCAAAACUGAAUGUUUUAUAUGAAAUUGAGCAAGAAAAGUUUGAAGUGUGGGAAUGAUCAACAUCAAACUUGCUGAGCUUUUGAAGCCGUCAUACCAAAAGUGAAUCCAUUCGUGACACCAAUUAUCUGACCACCCUCUAGCAGAACAGUGAGGAAGUGAUUCUAGCCAACACUUCAGAAGUAGGAUCUUGGGGCAUGUUGGGGGAAAAAAUAGCAUGUGUUGAUUUUAUGGGAUCUUCCAAAUAUAGUUGUGUAGUAGAUAUUUGUGUACUUAAUACCUAUGUUUGUCACUCUAGUCAUUAACUUUGUAUGGUAAAUGUAUAUGGACCACU
Saccostrea echinata is the source of this 601-nucleotide long non-coding RNA. RefSeq lists it as uncharacterized. The transcript is spliced from 4 exons. The record is from RefSeq and is a predicted model, not a curated record. NCBI's taxonomy places the organism in Eukaryota, Metazoa, Mollusca, Bivalvia, Ostreida, Ostreidae.